This 205-nucleotide ribosomal RNA is filed under the name uncultured bacterium. RNAcentral's name for it is "partial 16S ribosomal RNA". It matches the Rfam family "Bacterial small subunit ribosomal RNA", at positions 568 to 774 of the family's 1533-position model. The record is from RNAcentral.
UGCGUAGGUGGUGAGGUAAGUCGGAUGUGAAAGCUCGGAGCUCAACUCCGAAAUGGCAUUGGAAACUACCUUGCUCGAGGGUUGGAGGGGGGACUGGAAUACUUGGUGUAGCAGUGAAAUGCGUAGAUAUCAAGUGGAACACCAGUGGCGAAGGCGAGUCCCUGGACAACUCCUGACACUGAGGCACGAAAGCUGGGAGCAAACA